Molecule: ribosomal RNA, 253 nt
Filed under: uncultured bacterium
Lineage: Bacteria
Description: partial 16S ribosomal RNA
Rfam family: Bacterial small subunit ribosomal RNA
Source: RNAcentral
UACGGAGGGUGCAAGCAUUAAUCGGAUUUACUGGGCGUAAAGGGCGCGUAGGCGGAUUAAAAAGUCAGAUGUGAAAUUUCGGUGCUCAACACCGAAGCUGCAUUUGAAACUGGUAGUCUAGAGGAUGGACGGAGAAAACGGAAUUCCACGUGUAGCGGUGAAAUGCGUAGAUAUGUGGAAGAACACCUGUGGCGAAAGCGGUUUUCUAGUUUAUUCCUGACGCUGAGGCGCGAGAGCAAGGGUAGCAAACAGG